Alligator sinensis (Chinese alligator) is the source of this 841-nucleotide long non-coding RNA. RefSeq lists it as uncharacterized. Lineage: Eukaryota; Metazoa; Chordata; Crocodylia; Alligatoridae. The record is from RefSeq and is a predicted model, not a curated record. The transcript has 5 exons.
GAAAGAGAGAGGGGCACAGCUGGAAUGACCCAAGACAGGGUCAGACAGAGAGGGAUUUCUUCACAAGGAGGUCCUGGUUGCAGGGCUCCUGCAGGGACCUGGAUUUAGUUAAACAAAUAUGCAGCCCUAGGAACAGAGCCCAGAAGGGGCAGCAGUUUAUCAGCGUCAUCUCUGGGAUCACCCCUGAGCUCCAAAGAGGAUCUCCGCCAACUUAAUUGGAACAUGUUUGAGCCAAAUCAUGAAUGAAGGCUCUGAAGGCAAGUCUACCUCUGGGCCAAUUGUGAACACUGUUGCAUAGCAAACUUCAAUCUACAGAAAAUUACGCUGCAAAGCAGUCACAGGACUUCUGGGUGCAACCUAAAAGAACAGGAGAAGCAAGUUCUGCAUGGCCUCUGGGGUUUCCACACAUGUUUAGUUGGCAGUGAUCAUCAUACCAUGUAAGAUGAAUCAUACUGGAUAAGAUCACCUGCCAUGCUGAAAAGACAGCAUGCAAGUCAGUCUCAGUCUAUGUACUGCAGUGAACAGAGCACCCUCCCUCUCCUCCCUGAAGUCUAACAGCAUGAAGUGGUUUUCUUUGUGUGUUCACUAUGGCACAAUCAUUGAGAGCCUCCUUCUGCCAGUGCUGUAUCCUUCUUGUGUGGUUCUGCAGCUACAGGAGACUCACACCAAUAGAGCUGCAAGGAGUGUAAGUGAAAGCAGAAUUUGGUCCAUAGUCUUGAAUAAAGAUUCAUACAAGAUGCAAUCAUCCAGGUGCUGUAUGCUAUGCACAAAUUUGUUAAAUCUUAUCAUAUGAGUUGCUGAUGCAACUAGUAAACUAAUUAAAACCAUUUUGGUUUAGGAA